CCUACGGGUGGCAGCAGUGAGGAAUAUUGGUCAAUGGGAGAAAUCCUGAACCAGCCAAGCCGCGUGAGGGAAGACGGCCCUAUGGGUUGUAAACCUCUUUUGUCGGGGAACAAAACCCGGGACGUGUCCCGGACUGCGUGUAUCCGACGAACAAGCAUCGGCUAACUCCGUGCCAGCAGCCGCGGUAAGCCGGGGGAUGCGAGCGUUGUCCGGAUUUCUUGGGUUAAGAGGGUGCUCCGCCGGGUCUUUAAGCCGUCGGUGAAGUCGCGGGGCUAAGCCCCGCCGAGCCGUCGGAACUGGGGGACUGGAGUGCGGGGGAGGCAGGCGGAAUGCGCGGUGUAGCGGUGAAAUGCAUAGAUAUCGCGCAGAACACCGAUUGCGAAGGCAGCGUGCCGUGCCGCAACUGACGCUGAGGCACGAAAGCGCGGGGAGCGAACAGGAUUAGAUACCCCAGUAGUC
This 459-nucleotide ribosomal RNA is filed under the name uncultured bacterium. RNAcentral describes it as "partial 16S ribosomal RNA". It matches the Rfam family "Bacterial small subunit ribosomal RNA", at positions 338 to 795 of the family's 1533-position model. The record is from RNAcentral.